UGGGGGAUAUUGCACAAUGGGCGCAAGCCUGAUGCAGCGACGCCGCGUGAGGGAUGACGGCUUUCGGGUUGUAAACCUCUUUCGCUACUGAACAAGGCCCUGCUUGUUGUGGGGGUUGAGGGGUAGGUGGAUAAGAAGCGCCGGCUAACUACGUGCCAGCAGCCGCGGUAAUACGUAGGGCGCGAGCGUUGUCCGGAAUUAUUGGGCGUAAAGAGCUCGUAGGCGGCUUGUCGCGUCUGCUGUGAAAACGCGGGGCUUAACUCCGCGCGUGCAGUGGGUACGGGCAGGCUAGAGUGUGGUAGGGGUGAUUGGAAUUCCUGGUGUAGCGGUGGAAUGCGCAGAUAUCAGGAGGAACACCGAUGGCGAAGGCAGGUCACUGGGCCAUUACUGACGCUGAGGAGCGAAACGCAUGGGGAGCGAACAGGAUUAGAUAGCCCUGGUAGUCCAUGCCGUAGACGUUGGGCA
RNAcentral lists this ribosomal RNA (465 nucleotides) under uncultured bacterium. Its description in RNAcentral is "partial 16S ribosomal RNA". It matches the Rfam family "Bacterial small subunit ribosomal RNA", at positions 355 to 815 of the family's 1533-position model. The record is from RNAcentral.